RNAcentral lists this long non-coding RNA (570 nucleotides) under Carica papaya (papaya). RNAcentral describes it as "long non-coding RNA (CPAP_LNC007599)". Lineage: Eukaryota; Viridiplantae; Streptophyta; Magnoliopsida; Brassicales; Caricaceae. The record is from RNAcentral.
GCAAUUUCACACAUGCGUUAAUUCAAGAAAUACCGUUUUAUCAUUUUGAACUUUAAUACCGUGAUAGGAAAUAGGGUGAGGGGUCCUUACUUGUUUUCGAGAUCCGAAUACGAUUCACAGUGCGCCUGCAGGCUGUCCCUAAUUUUCCCUGAAUUUUUCUCGGGGAACUGAAACACACUAACAGUACCUGCACGUGUUCCAAAAAAAUUCCAAAUUAAGCCCAGGGCCUCUUUCGGCCCAAAUCGCAACUCCGGCACGGCGGCUCCGCCGUGCUCCGGCGACGGCGCCGCCGCUGGCGGCGGCGAGUCACCUCGGGUUGACUGUUUUCGGCCGUUUCCGGCCGAAUUCGGCCACACUCGCAUUGGUCCUUGUCAGAAAACAACCCUAGGGCCCUCGGGGGCCAAAAAAUCACGGAAAAACGGAGCUUACCGGUGGCGGCGCUCUCGGGUGCAGCGGCUCUCCGGCGAGGUUCGUGUUUUGGUGAUUCGGCUCCGGUCAACCUGUAGAGAAAAGAAUGGUGAUCACGGUGAUAUAAAAAUUGCAUCGAACGGAGGCCGGGAAGGGCCUCGU